This 526-nucleotide ribosomal RNA is filed under the name uncultured bacterium. Its description in RNAcentral is "bacterial SSU rRNA". It matches the Rfam family "Bacterial small subunit ribosomal RNA", at positions 20 to 518 of the family's 1533-position model. The record is from RNAcentral.
UGGCUCAGGACGAACGCUGGCGGCGUGCCUAAUACAUGCAAGUCGAACGGUCUUUCUAUGGAAGCUUGCUUCCACUGAGAAGAUAGUGGCGGACGGGUGAGUAACACGUGGGUAACCUGCCCAUAAGAGGGGGGAUAACAUCCGGAAACGGGUGCUAAUACCGCAUAGUUUUCUUGAUCGCAUGAUCGAGAAAGGAAAGACGGCCUUUGUGCUGUCGCUUAUGGAUGGACCCGCGGCGUAUUAGUUAGUUGGUGAGGUAACGGCUCACCAAGACGAUGAUACGUAGCCGACCUGAGAGGGUGAUCGGCCACAUUGGGACUGAGACACGGCCCAAACUCCUACGGGAGGCAGCAGUAGGGAAUCUUCCGCAAUGGACGAAAGUCUGACGGAGCAACGCCGCGUGAGUGAAAGAAGGUUUUCGGAUCGUAAAACUCUGUUGUCAGAGAAGAACAAGUCGGAGAGUAACUGCUCCGGCCUUGACGGUAUCUGACCAGAAAGCCACGGCUAACUACGUGCCAGCCGCGGC